GACGAACCGUGCAAACGUUGUUCGGAAUCACUGGGCUUAAAGGGCGCGUAGGCGGGCCAGCCAGUCUGUGGUGAAAGCCUCCAGCUUAACUGGAGAAGUGCCGUGGAUACUGCUGGCCUCGAGGAGGAUAGGGGCAUCUGGAACGGUCGGUGGAGCGGUGAAAUGCGUUGAUAUCAUCAGGAACACCGGUGGCGAAAGCGGCUUACUGGGUCUCUUCUGACGCUGAGGAACGAAAGCUAGGGUAGCAAACGGG
This 253-nucleotide ribosomal RNA is filed under the name uncultured bacterium. Its description in RNAcentral is "partial 16S ribosomal RNA". It matches the Rfam family "Bacterial small subunit ribosomal RNA", at positions 524 to 776 of the family's 1533-position model. The record is from RNAcentral.